RNAcentral lists this unclassified non-coding RNA (150 nucleotides) under uncultured Xylaria. RNAcentral's name for it is "sequence contains ITS2". The record is from RNAcentral. Lineage: Eukaryota; Fungi; Ascomycota; Sordariomycetes; Xylariales; Xylariaceae.
CAACCCUUAAGCCCUGUUGCUUAGCGUUGGGAGCCUACGAUAGUAGCUCCCCAAAGUUAGUGGCGGAGUCGGUCUCACACUCUAGACGUAGUAAAUUUCUCUCGUCUGUAGUUGGGCCGGUCCCCUGCCGUAAAACCCCCCAAUUUUAAU